Small nuclear RNA from Nycticebus coucang (slow loris), 102 nucleotides. The record is from RefSeq and is a predicted model, not a curated record. Lineage: Eukaryota; Metazoa; Chordata; Mammalia; Primates; Lorisidae.
CAGGGUUGCGCUUGCUUCGGCACCAUUGGAACGAUACAGAGAAGAUUAGCAUGGCCCCUGUGCAAGGAUGACAUGCAAAUUCAUGAAGCGUUCCAUUUUUUU